This 438-nucleotide ribosomal RNA is filed under the name uncultured bacterium. Its description in RNAcentral is "bacterial SSU rRNA". It matches the Rfam family "Bacterial small subunit ribosomal RNA", at positions 8 to 458 of the family's 1533-position model. The record is from RNAcentral.
AGAGUUUGAUCCUGGCUCAGAAUCAACGCUGGCGGCGCGCUUAACACAUGCAAGUCGAACGAGAAAGCAGGAGCAAUCCUGUGAGUACAGUGGCGUACGGGUGAGUAACACGUGGAUUAUCUGCCCUGGAGUGGGGAAUAACGCUGGGAAACCGGCGCUAAUACCGCAUAUUCCCGAGAGGGGAAAGCAGCAAUGCGCUCGAGGAGGAGUCCGCGGCUGAUUAGCUAGUUGGUAGGGUAACGGCCUACCAAGGCUAUGAUCGGUAGCCGGCCUGAGAGGGCACACGGCCACACUGGCACUGAAACACGGGCCAGACUCCUACGGGAGGCAGCAGUGGGGAAUCUUGCACAAUGGGGGCAACCCUGAUGCAGCGACGCCGCGUGAGCGAUGAAGCCCUUCGGGGUGUAAAGCUCUUUCGGCAGGGAAGAUUAUGACGGU